This is a small nuclear RNA of Tupaia belangeri (northern tree shrew), 113 nucleotides long. The record is from Ensembl. Lineage: Eukaryota; Metazoa; Chordata; Mammalia; Scandentia; Tupaiidae.
CGGCUUACCCUGUCCACUUCGGCAGCCUGUAUGCUAAACUUGGAACAUUACAAAGAUUAGCAUGGCCCCUGUGCAAGGAUGACAUGCAAAUUCAUGAAGUGCCUUACACUGCU